This 497-nucleotide ribosomal RNA is filed under the name uncultured bacterium. RNAcentral's name for it is "partial 16S ribosomal RNA". It matches the Rfam family "Bacterial small subunit ribosomal RNA", at positions 28 to 507 of the family's 1533-position model. The record is from RNAcentral.
GAUGAACGCUGGCGGCGUGCCUAAUACAUGCAAGUCGAGCGAACGGACGAUAAUCUUGCUUCUCUGAUGUUAGCGGCGGACGGGUGAGUAACACGUGGAUAACCUACCUAUAAGACUGGGAUAACUUCGGGAAACCGGAGCUAAUACCGGAUGAUAUUUUUAACCGCAUGGUUCAAAAGUGAAAUACGGUCUUGCUGUCACUUAUAGAUGGAUCGGCGCUGCAUUAGCUAGUUGGUAAGGUAACGGCUUACCAAGGCAACGAUGCAUAGCCGACCUGAGAGGGGGAGAGGCCACACUGGAACUGAGAGCCGGUCCAGACUCCUACGGGAGGCGACCGUAGGGAAUAUUCCGCGAUGGGCGCAAGCCUGGCGGAGCGACGCCGAGUGAGGGAUGAAGCUCUUCGGAUCGUAAAACUCUGUUAGUAGGGAAAAACAUAUGUGUAAGUGACUGUGCACAUCUUGACGGUAACUAAUCAGAAAGCCACGGCUAACUACGUG